Hydra vulgaris (swiftwater hydra) is the source of this 326-nucleotide long non-coding RNA. RefSeq lists it as uncharacterized. Lineage: Eukaryota; Metazoa; Cnidaria; Hydrozoa; Anthoathecata; Hydridae. The record is from RefSeq and is a predicted model, not a curated record.
GUUGAAAUAUGGUUUUAAAUUAGUAAGUUUUUAUGAUUAAAAACUUAUUAUAUUAAUCAUCAAAUAACUGUUAGGGAAAAUUUUAGUUCAUCACAAUUACGGGAGCUAUGUCUGAGUUUACAAAACAGUUAUUUUGUUGUUUUUUACAAGAAAAGUUAAAAAGCAUUACCCACCAGAAUUAUGAAGGUUUGCUUCAACACAGAGUUGUUAGUCCUAGGUCUUGGCCUUGACCUUGCCUUAAGGCCUUGGUCUUAAAACUGUUGGUCUUGGUCUUGGCCUUCAAAAAAAGUACAUAAAAUUGAAUAAUAAAAAGAUUUCAUUCUUUA